AUUGAACGCUGGCGGCAGGCCUAACACAUGCAAGUCGAGCGGAGCGGCGGACGGGUGAGUAAUGCCUAGGAAUCUGCCUGGUAGUGGGGGAUAACGUCCGGAAACGGGCGCUAAUACCGCAUACUAACAGAUGAGCCUAGGUCGGAUUAGCUAGUUGGUGGGGUACAGGCCUACCAAGGCGACGACCCGUAACUGGUCUUAGAGGCAGAUCAGUCACACUGGAACUCAGAAACGGGCCUGACACCAACGGGAGGCAGCAGUGGGGAAUAAUGGACAAUGGGCGAAAGCCUGAUACAGCCAUGCCGCGUGGGUGAAGAAGGUCUUCGGAUUGUAAAGCACUUUAAGUUGGGAGGCGUGACCAGCAGAAUAAGCACCGGCUAAAGUCGUGCCAGCAGCCGCGGUAAUUC
Molecule: ribosomal RNA, 407 nt
Filed under: uncultured bacterium
Lineage: Bacteria
Description: partial 16S ribosomal RNA
Rfam family: Bacterial small subunit ribosomal RNA
Source: RNAcentral